GUAGUCAUAUGCUUGUCUCAAAGAUUAAGCCAUGCAUGUCUAAGUAUAAGCAAUUAUACAGCGAAACUGCGAAUGGCUCAUUAAAUCAGUUAUCGUUUAUUUGAUAGUACCCUACUACAUGGAUAACCGUGGUAAUUCUAGAGCUAAUACAUGCUAAAAAUCCCGACUUCGGAAGGGAUGUAUUUAUUAGAUUAAAAACCAAUGCCCUUCGGGGCUUCCUGGUGAUUCAUAAUAACUUCUCGAAUCGCAUGGCCUUGCGCCGGCGAUGGUUCAUUCAAAUUUCUUCCCUAUCAACUUUCGAUGCGAGGGUCUUGUCCUCGCAUGGUUGCAACGGGUAACGGGGAAU
This 346-nucleotide ribosomal RNA is filed under the name uncultured Lasiodiplodia. RNAcentral describes it as "SSU rRNA". It matches the Rfam family "Eukaryotic small subunit ribosomal RNA", at positions 20 to 370 of the family's 1831-position model. The record is from RNAcentral. Lineage: Eukaryota; Fungi; Ascomycota; Dothideomycetes; Botryosphaeriales; Botryosphaeriaceae.